RNAcentral lists this ribosomal RNA (620 nucleotides) under Paroster copidotibiae. RNAcentral describes it as "partial 16S ribosomal RNA". It matches the Rfam family "Bacterial large subunit ribosomal RNA", at positions 1834 to 2733 of the family's 2925-position model. The record is from RNAcentral. Lineage: Eukaryota; Metazoa; Arthropoda; Insecta; Coleoptera; Dytiscidae.
UAGAGUAGAGUUUAAGGUUUGACCUGCCCACUGAUUGAUUAAAUGGCCGCAGUAAUUUGACUGUGCAAAGGUAGCAUAAUCAUUAGUUUUUUAAUUAAAAGCUUGUAUGAAUGGUUGGACGAGAUAAGUACUGUCUUUGGAUGAUAAAUAGAAUUUAAUUUUUAAGUUAAAAAGCUUAGAUAAUUAUAAAAGACGAGAAGACCCUAUAGAUCUUUACAAUAUUAAAUAUGUAUUUAAUUAAGAUUAUUUUAUUAUUUAUAUGAAAUAUUGUUUUAUUGGGGUAAUAAAAAGAUUAGAUUAAUUCUUUAUGAUUUUGAUAUAGAUUGAUAAGUUUUUGAUCCUUUAUUAAAGAUUUUAAGAUUAAGUUACCUUAGGGAUAACAGCGUAAUUUUUUUGGAGAGUUCAUAUCGAUAAGAAAGUUUGCGACCUCGAUGUUGGAUUAAAAAUUAUUCUAGGUGCAGCAGCUUAGAGGGUUUGGUCUGUUCGACCAUUGAAUUUUUACAUGAUCUGAGUUCAGACCGGUGUGAGCCAGGUCGGUUUCUAUCUUUAUUAGAUUGAAAUAUUUUAGUACGAAAGGACCAAAUAUUAAAUAUAUUAGAUAUUUUUAUUUUUGAAUUAUA